Molecule: ribosomal RNA, 484 nt
Filed under: uncultured bacterium
Lineage: Bacteria
Description: bacterial SSU rRNA
Rfam family: Bacterial small subunit ribosomal RNA
Source: RNAcentral
CGCCGCGUGAGUGAAGAAGGUUUUCGGAUCGUAAAACUCUGUUGUAAGGGAAGAACACGUACGAGAGUAACUGCUCGUACCUUGACGGUACCUUAUUAGAAAGCCACGGCUAACUACGUGCCAGCAGCCGCGGUAAUACGUAGGUGGCAAGCGUUGUCCGGAAUUAUUGGGCGUAAAGCGCGCGCAGGCGGUUCUUUAAGUCUGAUGUGAAAGCCCACGGCUCAACCGUGGAGGGUCAUUGGAAACUGGAGAACUUGAGUACAGAAGAGGAAAGCGGAAUUCCACGUGUAGCGGUGAAAUGCGUAGAGAUGUGGAGGAACACCAGUGGCGAAGGCGGCUUUCUGGUCUGUAACUGACGCUGAGGCGCGAAAGCGUGGGGAGCAAACAGGAUUAGAUACCCUGGUAGUCCACGCCGUAAACGAUGAGUGCUAAGUGUUAGGGGGUUUCCGCCCCUUAGUGCUGCAGCUAACGCAUUAAGCACUCC